RNAcentral lists this ribosomal RNA (459 nucleotides) under uncultured bacterium. RNAcentral describes it as "SSU rRNA". It matches the Rfam family "Bacterial small subunit ribosomal RNA", at positions 26 to 518 of the family's 1533-position model. The record is from RNAcentral.
AGAAUCAACGCUGGCGGCGUGCCUAACACAUGCAAGUCGAACGAGAAAGUGGAGCAAUCCAUUAGUAAAGUGGCGCACGGGUGAGUAACACGUGACUAACCUACCCUUGAGUGGGGGAUAACCUAGGGAAACCUGGGCUAAUACCGCAUAAUACCUUCGGGUCAAAGGAGCAAUUCGCUUAAGGAGGGGGUCGCGGCCGAUUAGUUAGUUGGCGGGGUAAUGGCCCACCAAGACGAUGAUCGGUAUCCGGCCUGAGAGGGCGCACGGACACACUGGAACUGAAACACGGUCCAGACUCCUACGGGAGGCAGCAGUGGGGAAUUUUGCGCAAUGGGGGAAACCUUGACGCAGCAACGCCGCGUGGAGGAUGAAGCCCCUUGGGGCGUAAACUCCUUUCGAUCGGGACGAUAAUGACGGUACCGGAAGAAGAAGCCCGGCUAACUUCGCGCCAGCAGCCGC